AACAGCAGCAGUGAGGGGGAAACAGCAGCAGUGAGGGGGAAACAGCAGCAGUGAGGUGGAAACAGUAGCAGUGAGAGGGGAAACAGCAGCAGUGACAGGGAAAAAUUAGCAGUGAGGGGGAAACAGUAGAAGUGAGGGGGAAACAGCAGCAGUGACAGGGAAACAGCAGCAGUGAGGUGGAAACAGUAGCAGUGGGGGGGAAACAGCAGCAGGGAUGGGAAACAGUAGCAGGACAGGGAAACAGUAGCAGUAAGGGGAAACAGCAGCAGGGACAGGGAAACAGUAGCAGGACAGGGAAACAGUAGCAGUAAGGGGAAACAGCAGCAGGG
RNAcentral lists this long non-coding RNA (329 nucleotides) under Salmo salar (Atlantic salmon). Its description in RNAcentral is "lncRNA (ENSSSAG00000084070.1)". The record is from RNAcentral. Lineage: Eukaryota; Metazoa; Chordata; Actinopteri; Salmoniformes; Salmonidae.